UACAGAGGGGGCAAGCGUUGUUCGGAAUUACUGGGCGUAAAGGGCGCGUAGGCGGCCUCUUAAGUCGAACGUGAAAUCCCCGGGCUCAACCCGGGAACUGCGUCCGAUACUGGGGGGCUUGAAUCCGGGAGAGGGAUGUGGAAUUCCAGGUGUAGCGGUGAAAUGCGUAGAUAUCUGGAGGAACACCGGUGGCGAAGGCGGCAUCCUGGACCGGUAUUGACGCUGAGGCGCGAAAGCGUGGGGAGCGAACAGG
This 253-nucleotide ribosomal RNA is filed under the name uncultured bacterium. Its description in RNAcentral is "partial 16S ribosomal RNA". It matches the Rfam family "Bacterial small subunit ribosomal RNA", at positions 524 to 776 of the family's 1533-position model. The record is from RNAcentral.